Molecule: small nuclear RNA, 324 nt
Filed under: Erinaceus europaeus (western European hedgehog)
Lineage: Eukaryota; Metazoa; Chordata; Mammalia; Eulipotyphla; Erinaceidae
Description: 7SK RNA
Rfam family: 7SK RNA
About the family: 7SK was discovered as an abundant small nuclear RNA in the mid-70s but a possible function has only recently been suggested. Two independent studies have found that 7SK RNA binds the CDK9/cyclin T complex (known as elongation factor P-TEFb). P-TEFb activates transcription by phosphorylating the C-terminal domain of RNA polymerase II.
Source: Rfam by way of RNAcentral
AGGUGUGAGGGCGAUCUUGCUGUGACACCUGUUGGCCUAUUGAUCACCAGGGUUGAUUUGGCUGAUCUGGCUGGCUAGGCGGGCGUCCCCUUCCUUCCUCAAUGCUCCAUGUGCGUCCCUCCCGAAGCUGUGCAUUUGGUCAAAGAGGACGGCCUUCCCCGAAUAGAGACAGACCGGUCUUCGGUCGAGGGUAUACGAGUAGCUGAGCUCCCCUGCUAAAACCUCCAAACAAGCUCUCAAGAUUUAUUUACUGGUGACCCAGGAGGUGGCACAGUGAUAAAGUGUUGAAUUCACAGACAUGAGGUCCUUAGCUUGGCACCACAU